GUCACCCUCCGCAGGCAGCUCGGCCAGGCGGCCGCCGGGGUCCGCAGGAAUGAGGAGCAGCAUGUGAUCAGAGAGCCCCGCCCCUUCGCCCCCCACCUGACGGCAGGAUGCUCCUGCUCCAGCGCGCCGUGGCGCUGUACCUCCCGUGGUGUCUCCUGCUCGCGUCCCCCCGCCGGGCCACGGCCGACGAGGAGGCUCACUGGGGAACGGCGUUGACCGAGCAGAAGCCCACCGAGAAGCCCAGCUCCUCCUGGUGGCCACUACCAAAAUUUUCCGUCCCGGGCCUUGCCUUGCUCCCGGACAUCCCCUCCUACCUCGACCCCCGCACCCUGAUCGGCGGGAGUUCGAAUGCCGGUGACGAUCCGGCUGCCACCAGCCAGCGGCCCCCGGCGUCGACCCCCACGGCCCCAGGCCCCGAGGGGCCCUCGGCGUCGACCCCCACGGCCCCGGGCCCCGAGGGGCCCUCGGCGUCCACGCAGCGCCGGAUCACGGGCGACGGCGGCGUCGUCUCGGCCUCCGACGCGCCUGGCGGCGGCGGCGGCGGCGGCUCGGCCGGGAGCACGCCGUUCUCCGCCGGUCCGGGGCGGACGGGCGCCCCCCCCCGCGGACCCCGCGAGCGCACGUGACCCCCGCCGCCCCGAAGACCCCCCGGCCACGUCCGAACCCCCCGGGCCCCCGGCGACGGCCUCGUCCGCCGUCGCCACGGAGACGGAUCUGAGCGCCGGCGUGACCCCCGACACCGUACAGGGGGGGGCGUGGCCGCAGGGUUCCCUGACCCCGCCUCCCACCCCGGGGACCACGCCGCUGACGACAUCAAAGACGCCGAGCGGGGGGUCGGCUGGGGCGGGGGGGGGAGGGCCCGUCAGUCCGUCCGGGGCGCCCCCCAGCGCUGCCACAGAGGAGAGGUCCACGGCGGGGUCUAGCCCCACCUCCGGGGGCCGGGAGGUUGCCUCCCCGGUGCCAGGAGAGACUCCCAGCAGCGAGGAUACGAACGAUGAGGAGGACGACGAGGAGUCCGUCGUAGCAGGGAACCGGACGAAGAGCACGAGCUCGGCGGCAGAGGUUUCCACGGCCGCGUUCCAACCGCCGCCGACGCCCGGGCGACUCACGACGGGUAUGGGGGGAGAGGGGGGAGGGCGGCUGGGGGGGAGACGCCCCUGGAACGCGGUCAUCCAGGGUCUCAACAUUAAAGCUGCAUAA
Gadus morhua (Atlantic cod) is the source of this 1200-nucleotide long non-coding RNA. The record is from Ensembl. Lineage: Eukaryota; Metazoa; Chordata; Actinopteri; Gadiformes; Gadidae.